AAAUACACACUCUUACAAGAGCCACACAUACAGACACUAGAUGCCUUGGUAGAAGGAUACGAUUAGUAGGAAACAUAAGGCUUCCUAGGAUCAUACAAAAAACAUUUUAAUACUUACAGUUCAUACACAUUUUCAAUACUUACAGUCGGUAUACAUACAAAUACUUACAUACAAAUUAAGACACUAAAAUACUUAUGAUCUAACCAGCUUUAAAGCUGAUACUCUCUUUCAAAAUAACUUGUAUCCUCAGGUCAACCAUAGACAGGUACCGAUGCAAGGUUUAGAGAGAUGAAGCUCNAGGUUUAGAGAAGAUGAAGCUCGUUCAAGACUCAUCUUUCCUUUUGUUUAUACUUUAGUGUCUAUUAUAAUUUGACAUAACACUUGUAUUAAAAUUAUAUUAUUAAUGCAAUAGAUGAUGUUGUUGCUUGUUUACUACUUUUCAUUUUUCUGAUAAUGUACAUGGCGUCCUCCGCCCCAGAACGUUUCCAUGGAUGACAGAAGGGUCAUUGGUUAACGUGGUGUAGUUACUUAUGGUAUCCAUGGAUGACAUAUGGGUUAUUGGUUAACAUGGUAGUUGCUUAUGGUGUCCAUGGAUGACAUAUGGGUCAUUGGUCAACAUGGUAGUUACAUAUGGUGUCCAUGGAUGACAUAUAGGUCAUUGGUCAACAUGUAAUUGCGUAUGGUGUCUGACAUAUGGGUAAUUAGUAAACUUGGUGUAAUUGCUUAUGGUGUCCAUGGAUGACAUAUGGGUCAUUGGUCAACUUGGUAGUUGCUUAUGGUGUCCAUGGAUGACAGAAGGGACAUUGGUUAACAUGGUGAAGUUACUUAUGGUGUCCAUGGAUGACAUAUGGGUUAUUGGUCAACAAGGUAGUUACUUAUGGUGUCCAUGGAUGAUAUAUGGGUCAUUUGUCAACAGUGUGUAGUUGCUUAUUGUGUCCAUGGAUGACAUAUGGG
This 954-nucleotide long non-coding RNA is filed under the name Lactuca sativa (garden lettuce). Its description in RNAcentral is "long non-coding RNA (LSAT_LNC008822)". Lineage: Eukaryota; Viridiplantae; Streptophyta; Magnoliopsida; Asterales; Asteraceae. The record is from RNAcentral.